Molecule: unclassified non-coding RNA, 331 nt
Filed under: soil metagenome
Description: partial contains 5.8S ribosomal RNA, internal transcribed spacer 2, and large subunit ribosomal RNA
Rfam family: 5.8S ribosomal RNA (bases 1-120)
Source: RNAcentral
GAUGAAGAACGCAGCGAAAUGCGAUAAGUAAUAUGAAUUGCAGAAUUCAGUGAAUCAUCGAAUCUUUGAACGCACAUUGCGCCCCCUGGUAUUCCGGGGGGCAUGCCUGUUCGAGCGUCAUUUCACCACUCAAGCCUCGCUUGGUAUUGGGCAACGCGGUCCGCCGCGUGCCUCAAAUCGUCCGGCUGGGUCUUCUGUCCCCUAAGCGUUGUGGAAACUAUUCGCUAAAGGGUGUUCGGGAGGCUACGCCGUAAAACAACCCCAUUUCUAAGGUUGACCUCGGAUCAGGUAGGGAUACCCGCUGAACUUAAGCAUAUCAAUAAGCGGAGGA